This 1372-nucleotide ribosomal RNA is filed under the name uncultured bacterium. RNAcentral describes it as "bacterial SSU rRNA". It matches the Rfam family "Bacterial small subunit ribosomal RNA", at positions 28 to 1381 of the family's 1533-position model. The record is from RNAcentral.
GAUGAACGCUGGCGGCGUGCCUAAUACAUGCAAGUCGAGCGAACGGACGAGAAGCUUGCUUCUCUGAUGUUAGCGGCGGACGGGUGAGUAACACGUGGAUAACCUACCUAUAAGACUGGGAUAACUUCGGGAAACCGGAGCUAAUACCGGAUAAUAUUUUGAACCGCAUGGUUCAAAAGUGAAAGACGGUCUUGCUGUCACUUAUAGAUGGAUCCGCGCUGCAUUAGCUAGUUGGUAAGGUAACGGCUUACCAAGGCAACGAUGCAUAGCCGACCUGAGAGGGUGAUCGGCCACACUGGAACUGAGACACGGUCCAGACUCCUACGGGAGGCAGCAGUAGGGAAUCUUCCGCAAUGGGCGAAAGCCUGACGGAGCAACGCCGCGUGAGUGAUGAAGGUCUUCGGAUCGUAAAACUCUGUUAUUAGGGAAGAACAUAUGUGUAAGUAACUGUGCACAUCUUGACGGUACCUAAUCAGAAAGCCACGGCUAACUACGUGCCAGCAGCCGCGGUAAUACGUAGGUGGCAAGCGUUAUCCGGAAUUAUUGGGCGUAAAGCGCGCGUAGGCGGUUUUUUAAGUCUGAUGUGAAAGCCCACGGCUCAACCGUGGAGGGUCAUUGGAAACUGGAAAACUUGAGUGCAGAAGAGGAAAGUGGAAUUCCAUGUGUAGCGGUGAAAUGCGCAGAGAUAUGGAGGAACACCAGUGGCGAAGGCGACUUUCUGGUCUGUAACUGACGCUGAUGUGCGAAAGCGUGGGGAUCAAACAGGAUUAGAUACCCUGGUAGUCCACGCCGUAAACGAUGAGUGCUAAGUGUUAGGGGGUUUCCGCCCCUUAGUGCUGCAGCUAACGCAUUAAGCACUCCGCCUGGGGAGUACGACCGCGAGGUUGAAACUCAAAGGAAUUGACGGGGACCCGCACAAGCGGUGGAGCAUGUGGUUUAAUUCGAAGCAACGCGGAGAACCUUACCAAAUCUUGACAUCCUUUGACAACUCUAGAGAUAGAGCUUUCCCCUUCGGGGGACAAGGUGACAGGUGGUGCAUGGUUGUCGUCAGCUCGUGUCGUGAGAUGUUGGGUUAAGUCCCGCAACGAGCGCAACCCUUAAGCUUAGUUGCCAUCAUUAAGUUGGGCACUCUAAGUUGACUGCCGGUGACAAACCGGAGGAAGGUGGGGAUGACGUCAAAUCAUCAUGCCCCUUAUGAUUUGGGCUACACACGUGCUACAAUGGACAAUACAAAGGGCAGCGAAACCGCGAGGUCAAGCAAAUCCCAUAAAGUUGUUCUCAGUUCGGAUUGUAGCCUGCAACUCGACUACAUGAAGCUGGAAUCGCUAGUAAUCGUAGAUCAGCAUGCUACGGUGAAUACGUUCCCGGGUCU